CCUACGGGAGGCAGCAGUGAGGAAUAUUGGUCAAUGGGCGCGAGCCUGAACCAGCCAAGCAGCGUGAAGGAUGACUGCCCUACGGGUUGUAAACUUCUUUUAUAAAGGAAUAAAGUGAGGUACGUGUGCCUUUUUGUAUGUAUUUUAUGAAUAAGGAUCGGCUAACUCCGUGCCAGCAGCCGCGGUAAUACGGAGGGUUCGAGCGUUAUCCGGAUUUAUUGGGUUUAAAGGGUGCGUAGAUGGGUUGUUAAGUCAGUUGUGAAAGUUUGCGGCUCAACCGUAAAAUUGCAAUUGAUACUGGCAGGCUUGAGUACAGUUGAGGUAGGCGGAAUUCGUGGUGUAGCGGUGAAAUGCUUAGAUAUCACGAAGAACUCCGAUUGCGAAGGCAGCCUACUAAGCUGCCACUGACAUUGAUGCUCGAAAGUGUGGGUAUCAAACAGGAUUAGAUACCCGUGUAGUC
RNAcentral lists this ribosomal RNA (460 nucleotides) under uncultured bacterium. Its description in RNAcentral is "partial 16S ribosomal RNA". It matches the Rfam family "Bacterial small subunit ribosomal RNA", at positions 338 to 795 of the family's 1533-position model. The record is from RNAcentral.